Molecule: unclassified non-coding RNA, 302 nt
Filed under: Hevea brasiliensis (rubber tree)
Lineage: Eukaryota; Viridiplantae; Streptophyta; Magnoliopsida; Malpighiales; Euphorbiaceae
Source: RNAcentral
GGUAGCGGUGGCAUCAUCCCCAGUGCUAAUGGAGAGUAGAAGAAGAGAUCCAGAGAAGGUGCCAAUGUAGAUUAGGGAUUGUGCAUCGGAAAUUGAAGAGACGGCAAGAGAUCGGAGUGAAGUGACAGAAUAGGAGGAGAGGUCAAUGUUAGAGAGAGGUUCUAGGACGGUUCGAGCAGAGGGAUCGGGCUUGGCCAUCGAAUUGUGAAGAGAUUGUUAGGUGGGUAUUUGCAGAGGAUUAUGACUUGGUUGAGAAAGCCAUGAAAUUGAAGAAGAAAGAAGACUAGGAUGCUUCAACUCCG